This 380-nucleotide ribosomal RNA is filed under the name uncultured eukaryote. RNAcentral's name for it is "partial 18S ribosomal RNA". It matches the Rfam family "Eukaryotic small subunit ribosomal RNA", at positions 592 to 976 of the family's 1831-position model. The record is from RNAcentral.
CAAUAGCGUAUAUUAAAGUUGUUGCGGUUAAAAAGCUCGUAGUUGGAGUUCUGCCAGGUGACGCUCGUCCGCCCAAGUGGUGUGUACAGGGCGUGCAUCUGGCCCUUUCAAGGGGAACGUGUCUGCACUUUACUGUGUGGUGCGAGAUCCUUGACUUUUACUUUGAGGAAAUCAGAGUGUUCCAAGCAGGCUCUCGUCGUGUAUAGCUCAGCAUGGAAUAAUAGCAUUGGACUUCGUUUCUAAGCUGUUGGUUGCAAGAAGCGAGGUAAUGAUGAAGAGGGAUAGUUGGGGGCAUUCGUAUUUAACUGUCAGAGGUGAAAUUCUCGGAUUUGUUAAAGACGGACUACUGCGAAAGCAUCUGCCAUGGAUGUUUUCAUUGA